RNAcentral lists this transfer RNA (70 nucleotides) under Marmota monax (woodchuck). RNAcentral describes it as "tRNA.Ala". The stretch from base 5 to 65 matches the Rfam family "tRNA", at positions 6 to 65 of the family's 71-position model. Rfam says of the family: Transfer RNA (tRNA) molecules are approximately 80 nucleotides in length. Their secondary structure includes four short double-helical elements and three loops (D, anti-codon, and T loops). Lineage: Eukaryota; Metazoa; Chordata; Mammalia; Rodentia; Sciuridae. The record is from RNAcentral.
GGGCUGGGGCUCAGCGGUAGAGCACUUACCUGGCAUGUGUGAGGCACUGGGUUCGAUUCUCAGCACCACG